ACCGAUCGAUCAACCUAAGCACAACACUGCUCGCCUCGCCAGAACACUCAUUGGAGCUUGAAGCCUGUAUGACAAUGUCUUCCACGAUGAAUACAAAGAACGGCCAAACCUCCAAAAAGAAGUUUUCUUCAGCAUGAGGUCCUGAGCAAAAGAAUCCAUGUAAAUAUCCUCAACUGUUGCACUGCUGUCGGAGUCGUAGUCUGGGAAAUUCAUGGAUAAUUUUCCAGAAAAUGCAUGCGACGAUUUCUUGUUACCCUCUUUUGUGUGUCUCCACGAGGAUGCAAGACCAGAAUCACCUCUCAUGCAAUUUUGUUUGGAAGAGUCAUGAAAGGAAUCAUUCACCUCCCUCAAUGAAGUGCUGGUCAAGAAAUUCAUUCCUUUCUUGGAAUCGCGAUUGUUGAGACACAUUGCAUCUUGACAAAAUCGGAGAGCAGCAAGAAGAAUUUUCCGAUGAAACUUCAGGAUUCUUUGAAGACCCAGGAGAACCCUGUUUAUGAACAGCAUGGGAACGCAAAGGUCGAUGGCAGCUGAAUCAGAAAGCAAGAAAAAUUAGAAUAUCUUUACCACAAGAAGAAAACUCUCAAGCAUCAACAUUCGACUGGAACUUUCCCAUCUGGUUCAGAAAUUAACGACAGGAAGAGUACUUUGCACUUUGCAUGUGGAUCGAAGAACAGAAUGAACACAGUAGUAAUAGAGUUCUUGAACUUACUGCACUUGGCAACUAGAUGCUUGAUGUGGUGAGUUGCCACAACUGGCGACUGGUCUGCACAGAUCACUCAAAGAAACAAGGUUCCCCUCUCUGAAGUCGUCGUUCAUGGCACCGAAAGAAAACGAAUGGCUUCUUCGAACAAGUACUCGAGAACAUGAAGGAGGUGUUUGUAGAGAAGUGCCACUUGCAUCCCUUGACCCCAGAGAUUUAAAUGAAAAAAGCCUCUUCAUUUACAAAGUUCUAUUUGAUUUCACUCCUGCAAGGCAUAGAAUUGUUUGUUUUAGGACUUCUCAUUGUUAUUACGUUUGAAUUCACUCUCAGGCCCAAACAGUCAGAGUCCUAAAACAAAAGAAAGGACAAGAAUUAGAUUGAGAUAACAAAGGGAUGUUAAGCAUCUUACAGACUAAGCUUAACAGAAUGGUGCAUAAAGAUCAAUUUGAAGAGACAUCAAAGUGCAGGAGAUACAAGGAUUUGUUAGUCCAAAGAACAAUUACAAGAAUUUGUUAGUCAAGUUUGAGGCAGCAGAAAAAUAAACUACAAAGUCAAUUCGAUCUUCAACAAAGAAAAGGAAGACUAAUUCAAGCAAGCAAGCAAAAAGAGAAUUCCUUUCAUUCUGAAAAAUUAGGCAAACCAAAGAGAAAAACCGCCUGCGCAAAGAGCAAACUUUUGGCGAGGAUUGGAAGAGGAGAGGAAGAAAGCUAAUCUACCGCACUCAACCUCUCUACUGCUUUCGAAUCACUCGGAGAGAGGAAAGCGAAGCGAAUUACCG
Long non-coding RNA from Zingiber officinale, 1478 nucleotides. RefSeq lists it as uncharacterized. The record is from RefSeq and is a predicted model, not a curated record. The transcript is spliced from 6 exons. Lineage: Eukaryota; Viridiplantae; Streptophyta; Magnoliopsida; Zingiberales; Zingiberaceae.